AUGAACGCUGGCUACAGGCUUAACACCUGCAAGUCGAGGGGAAACGACGGGGAAGCUUGCUUCCCCGGGCGUCGACCGGCGCACGGGUGAGUAACGCGUAUCCAACCUGCCUCUGACUGAGGGAUAACCCGUCGAAAGUCGGCCUAAUACCUCAUGGUAUCGUCUGCGGGCAUCCAACGACGAUUAAAGAUUUCAUCGGUCAGGGAUGGGGAUGCGUCUGAUUAGCUUGUUGGCGGGGUAACGGCCCACCAAGGCUACGAUCAGUAGGGGUUCUGAGAGGAAGGUCCCCCACAUUGGAACUGAGACACGGUCCAAACUCCUACGGGAGGCAGCAGUGAGGAAUAUUGGUCAAUGGGCGAGAGCCUGAACCAGCCAAGUAGCGUGCAGGAAGACGGCCCUAUGGGUUGUAAACUGCUUUUAGGCGGGGAUAAAGUGAGGGACGUGUCCCUCAUUGCAGGUACCGCAUGAAUAAGGACCGGCUAAUUCCGUG
RNAcentral lists this ribosomal RNA (490 nucleotides) under uncultured bacterium. Its description in RNAcentral is "partial 16S ribosomal RNA". It matches the Rfam family "Bacterial small subunit ribosomal RNA", at positions 29 to 507 of the family's 1533-position model. The record is from RNAcentral.